This is a non-coding RNA of Serendipita sp. 401, 81 nucleotides long. The record is from the annotation of a GenBank genome assembly. Lineage: Eukaryota; Fungi; Basidiomycota; Agaricomycetes; Sebacinales; Serendipitaceae.
UCGGCAUUAGUAUAUCGGUCAGUACACGCGCCUGUCAUUAGAUGGCCGCGCGAAAGCGGGGUUCGAUUCCCCGAUGCCGAG